UACCGAUUUGCUGCCACGGGUGAUGUGACACUGUUUCUCGCGUCUUCUGCUGCCUGCUGUCCGCGUGGUUAGCUGGUUGUCACACAGCCGUUGGGUCAGAUGUCCGGACAGACGUUAUCUUGUGUUUGCCGACCGCAACCACUCUAUUCGGGGCCAUUCACCGGAUUUCGACCGCCAUCGUCAGAAGAAAUGACUGAUAAAAAAUAUACAGUUGUAGAAUUCCUGGACGGCGCAAUGGCUGCUGUUCCCAGCACCUGGGUUGAGAGGGAAAAAGACAAUGUACCUGUGCUCACUCGGCGGAGCAAACCUGAAUGCAGCGGUCAGAAGAAUGCUCCGCCGGGUGGGCAAAAAUGCCCUCUGGUCAAAUUUUUGUUUUAAAGGGAGGCAGAGCAAGCGCCCUUUUAGUAAGCUUUGACUGUGUGAAGCAAUGAUUGGAGCAUGCCAGAAAUUGCAUGAAGUGAAGGCAGAUGAGGUGGAAGGUGCUAUUGGCCAGGCGCUGAAAUUUGCGCCACACAGACAAUUAAAGUGGUAUGAGUCAUUAAUGAUUUCACCAGAACUGCUCUCUUAAAAUUAUUUUGAUUAAGCCCUAAUAA
Molecule: long non-coding RNA, 593 nt
Organism: Perca flavescens (yellow perch)
Lineage: Eukaryota; Metazoa; Chordata; Actinopteri; Perciformes; Percidae
Exons: 4
Source: RefSeq, a predicted model, not a curated record